UAUUGGACAAUGGGCGCAAGCCUGAUCCAGCCAUGCCGCGUGAGUGACGAAGGUCUUCGGAUUGUAAAGCUCUUUUGGCGGGGACGAUAAUGACGGUACCCGCAGAAUAAGCCCCGGCUAACUUCGUGCCAGCAGCCGCGGUAAUACGAAGGGGGCUAGCGUUGUUCGGAAUUACUGGGCGAAAGCGCACGUAGGCGGAUUUGUAAGUCAGGGGUAAAUCCCGGGGCUCAACCUCGAACUGCCUUUAUACUGCAAGUCUCAGCCGAAGGGGUAGUGAAUUCCAGUGAAGGUAAAUUCGAGUUAGAAGACACCAGUGCAAGCGCUACUGGCCGGUCUGCGUGCGUGAAAUCG
This 351-nucleotide ribosomal RNA is filed under the name uncultured bacterium. RNAcentral describes it as "bacterial SSU rRNA". It matches the Rfam family "Bacterial small subunit ribosomal RNA", at positions 362 to 761 of the family's 1533-position model. The record is from RNAcentral.